AGUUUCCUACGGGGCGCAGCAGUAGGGAAUCUUCCACAAUGGGCGAAAGCCUGAUGGAGCAACGCCGCGUGGGUGAAGAAGGUCUUCGGAUCGUAAAACCCUGUUGUUAGAGAAGAAAGUGCGUGAGAGUAACUGUUCACGUUUCGACGGUAUCUAACCAGAAAGCCACGGCUAACUACGUGCCAGCAGCCGCGGCAAUACGUAGGUGGCAAGCGUUAUCCGGAUUUAUUGGGCGUAAAGGGAACGCAGGCGGUCUUUUAAGUCUGAUGUGAAAGCCUUGGGCUUAACCGGAGGAGUGAAUUGGA
This 305-nucleotide ribosomal RNA is filed under the name uncultured bacterium. RNAcentral's name for it is "bacterial SSU rRNA". It matches the Rfam family "Bacterial small subunit ribosomal RNA", at positions 333 to 630 of the family's 1533-position model. The record is from RNAcentral.